UGAUAUGACCACAGCAUCACAGGAUGCAGUGGUAAAAGGGUGGGGACCUUCGGGCCUACCUGGCCAUGGAGCGGCCCAUGACCUAGUCACGCUUGUCGGUGACGGUAGCAGCUCGAUCUAUGCGACUACGGGUACCGGGCCUGAUAGGCUGACCCGGUGCAUUGGGACUGAGACACUGCCCAGACUCCUACGGGAGGCUGCACCGACGAAUAUUGCACAAUGGGCGAAAGCCUGGAUGCAGCGACGCCUGGGGUGUGGGAGGAAGCCCUUCGCGGGUGUAAACCACUGUCAGGGACUAACAAGCGAGCGAUACGAAUAGUCUCGGAAGUUGAGUACUCCCAGAGGAAGUCACGGUUAACUUCGUGCCAGCAGCCGUGGUAUGACGACGGUGGCAAGCGUAGGUCGGAAUCAUUGGGCUUAAAGAGCAUGUAGGCGGACUGUCAAGCACUUUGUGAAAAUCCCUCGGCUCAACCGAGGAAUUGCUUGGUGAACUGGUAGUCCUGGAGGCAGGUAGGGGCCACACGGAACUCUUGGUGGAACCGUUGGAAUGCGUAGAUAUCAAGAGGAACGCCAGAGGCCAAGGGCGGCGUGCCUGGGGCUGACCUGACCGCUGAGAUGCGAAAGCCACGGGAACGGACGGGAUUAGAUACCCCGGUAGUCCUGGCCCUAAACGAUGUACACUAGGUCUGAGGUCUUCUGACACACCUCUGGCCGUAACCUGAGCGUUAAGUGGACCGCCUGGGGACUACGGUAGCAAGGCUGUAACUCAAAGGAAUUGACGGGGGCUCACACAAGCGGUGGAGCAUGUUGCUUCAUUCGAUCCGACGCGAAGAACCUUAUCCUGGGCUUGACAUGUAGGAAUACCGCCCUGGACACAGGCCUGGUUGCCCUUCGGGGUGAAGCCUACACAGGUCCUGCAUGGCUGUCGUCAGCUCGUGUCGUGAGAGAUUGGGUUAAGUCCCGUAACGAGCGAAACCCUUGUCGUUAGUUGCCAACGCGUUAUGCCGGGGACUCUAGCGAGACUGCCGGUGUUAAACCGGAGGAAGGUGGGGAUGACGUCAAGUCCUCAUGGCCUUUAUGCCCAGGGCUGCAUACGUGCUACAAUG
Molecule: ribosomal RNA, 1106 nt
Filed under: uncultured organism
Description: bacterial SSU rRNA
Rfam family: Bacterial small subunit ribosomal RNA
Source: RNAcentral